RNAcentral lists this ribosomal RNA (521 nucleotides) under uncultured bacterium. Its description in RNAcentral is "bacterial SSU rRNA". It matches the Rfam family "Bacterial small subunit ribosomal RNA", at positions 25 to 518 of the family's 1533-position model. The record is from RNAcentral.
CAGGACGAACGCUGGCGGCGUGCCUAAUACAUGCAAGUCGAACGGCUUUUCUAUGGAAGCUUGCUUCCACUGAGAAGAUAGUGGCGAACGGGUGAGUAACAACGUGGGUAACCUGCCCAUAAGAGGGGGAUAACAUCCGGAAACGGGUGCUAAUACCGCAUAGUUUUCUUGAUUGCAUGAUUGAGAAAGGAAAGACGGCCUUUGUGCUGUCGCUUAUGGAUGGACCCGCGGCGUAUUAGUUAGUUGGUGAGGUAACGGCUCACCAAGACGAUGAUACGUAGCCGACCUGAGAGGGUGAUCGGCCACAUUGGGACUGAGACACGGCCCAAACUCCUACGGGAGGCAGCAGUAGGGAAUCUUCCGCAAUGGACGAAAGUCUGACGGAGCAACGCCGCGUGAGUGAAAGAAGGUUUUCGGAUCGUAAAACUCUGUUGUCAGAGAAGAACAAGUUGGAGAGUAACUGCUCCAGCCUUGACGGUAUCUGACCAGAAAGCCACGGCUAACUACGUGCCAGCCGCCGC